UACGUAGGCAGCAAGCGUUGUUCGGAAUUACUGGGCGUAAAGAGUGUGUAGGCGGUGCUCUAAGUCUGUUGUGAAAUCUCCCGGCUUAACUGGGAGGGUGCGGCGGAGACUGGAGUGCUAGAGUGUGGGAGAGGUAAGCGGAAUUCCUGGUGUAGCGGUGAAAUGCGUAGAUAUCAGGAGGAACACCUGUGGUGUAGACAGCUUACUGGACCACGACUGACGCUGAGGCACGAAAGCGUGGGUAGCAAACAGG
RNAcentral lists this ribosomal RNA (253 nucleotides) under uncultured bacterium. RNAcentral's name for it is "partial 16S ribosomal RNA". It matches the Rfam family "Bacterial small subunit ribosomal RNA", at positions 524 to 776 of the family's 1533-position model. The record is from RNAcentral.